UACGUAGGGUGCGAGCGUUGUCCGGAAUUAUUGGGCGUAAAGAGCUUGUAGGCGGUUUGUCGCGUCUGCCGUGAAAUUUCGAGGCUCAACCUCGAACUUGCGGUGGGUACGGGCAGACUAGAGUGUGGUAGGGGAGACUGGAAUUCCUGGUGUAGCGGUGAAAUGCGCAGAUAUCAGGAGGAACACCGAUGGCGAAGGCAGGUCUCUGGGCCACUACUGACGCUGAGAGGCGAAAGCAUGGGGAGCGAACAGG
This 253-nucleotide ribosomal RNA is filed under the name uncultured bacterium. RNAcentral's name for it is "partial 16S ribosomal RNA". It matches the Rfam family "Bacterial small subunit ribosomal RNA", at positions 524 to 776 of the family's 1533-position model. The record is from RNAcentral.